Molecule: long non-coding RNA, 729 nt
Filed under: Malus domestica (apple)
Lineage: Eukaryota; Viridiplantae; Streptophyta; Magnoliopsida; Rosales; Rosaceae
Description: long non-coding RNA (MDOM_LNC017696)
Source: RNAcentral
UUGUCCUUCACGAGUUCUUACGGCAGUCUUUGCUCCUUCAUACCUACUGUUUGAGUUUAUAAUAUCUAUAUUUUUGGGUGUGUUUCAUUUGGUCUCGGUCUGUAGCUUGGGUUUGGUCUUGCUGUACUUCUUGUCAUUGUUCUCAGGCAUUAGGUUUUGACUUAUUUUUCGCUUAUGCGCUGAAGCUCAUGACCUCAUUUGGUGACGCACCCCACCGUCCAAUUAAGCAAUUUGGUAAUGCAAAAGUCUAACUUUAACCACUAUUUUUAAUCUAAAUUUAGCCACGUGCAGCCAUUUGAAAAUUGAAAACCACUUUGAAUUCUUGGAUUAAUCUUGUUUUGAUAAUCCAUUAGCAACUGUACCCAAAAGUCGAGCCACGCUCCUCGUCAAAAGGAAGAUAACCUAAAAAUCUCAAUGAUAAAAAUACUACCGUAUGCUCAUGAGAUUAAUUAAAGGGAUAGUUUAGUUGCGAUUUUUGGUCCCUAACUGUUAUAAAUUUAAACCUUAUGCAUUUUAGGUUUUUUAUUUAAACCCCUCCCUUACCAUAUAAAUGACAUAAUAAUAAAAGAGAUGCAAUAGUACCAAUAAAAACUCAACCGUUUUUUUGCUUUCAUUUACACUACCAACUCAAUUAUUCAAAAUUGCUUAUGGGUUUUCAAAAAAAAAUAAUAAUAAUUGCUUAUGGGUGCAUUCUAGAUUAUAAAAAAUAAAAUAAAAAAAAAAGAAUUU